ACCAGCAUGGCUUAAUGGUUUGAGCGUUGGAAUAUGACUCUGAAGACCUAGGUUUGAUUCCCAGCUCAGUCA
Non-coding RNA from Phrynosoma platyrhinos (Desert horned lizard), 72 nucleotides. NCBI's taxonomy places the organism in Eukaryota, Metazoa, Chordata, Lepidosauria, Squamata, Phrynosomatidae. The record is from the annotation of a GenBank genome assembly.